UUGACGGGGCCCGCACAAGCGGUGGAGUAUGUGGUUUAAUUCGACGCAACGCGCAGAACCUUACCUAGACUUGACAUCCCGGGAUUUUCUGGAAACAGAGAAGUGCUUUAGCAAUAAAGAACCCGGUGACAGGUGCUGCAUGGCUGUCGUCAGCUCGUGUCGUGAGAUGUCCGGUUAAGUCCGGUAACGAGCGCAACCCUCGCUGUAUGUUAUACGUGUCAUACGGGACUGCCGGUAUCAAGCCGGAGGAAGGUGGGAUGACGUCAAGUCAGCAUGGCCUUUAUGUCUGGGGCUACACACACGCUACAAUGGCCAGUACAAUAGGUUGCAAGACCGCGAGGUGGAGCCAAUCCUAAAAGCUGGUCUCAGUUCGGAUUGCAGGCUGCAACUCGCCUGCAUGAAGUCGGAGUUGCUAGUAACCGCGCGUCAGCUAUAGUGCGGUGAAUACGUUCCCGGGCCUU
Molecule: ribosomal RNA, 461 nt
Filed under: uncultured Anaerolineaceae bacterium
Lineage: Bacteria; Bacillati; Chloroflexota; Anaerolineae; Anaerolineales; Anaerolineaceae
Description: bacterial SSU rRNA
Rfam family: Bacterial small subunit ribosomal RNA
Source: RNAcentral